ACCAAAUUGGAUGUUAGGCCGUAAUAAUUGAACGAUAUCGCACAAACACAAACGUAUCACUAUCUCAGUCAGAGUAUCAAUCAACCACUACCCUACUCGUUCGUUUGUUCGUUCACUUGUUUUCUUUCUUACCGCGUCUGUAAGAGUAAGCAAUCAUCAUAUUCUUUCACAGAUGAAACUCGUCGGUGGGAGGUGAAUGGGAAGAUUAUAUAUAUAUAUAUAUAUAUAUAUCAUCAUUAAUUUGACCCCUCUUGCUACUUAAUUGCUUAAGCGUACCUACAAUAUUGCAAUUGGCCUGAGAAGCACGGCAAGAGUGGAACUUAUUGUCUUCAGUCAAGAAACUCUCCACUCAGACAAGAGAAAUGUGAACCAGACAACUUUCUUUGUGGUGUUUAGAAGCUUUUUUGUGAGCCUUUGGGGCUAUUUGAAAUUGCGACAAUCAUGCAAAUGCUGUUGGAAAUAAACACAAAUUAUG
Molecule: long non-coding RNA, 475 nt
Organism: Trifolium pratense (red clover)
Lineage: Eukaryota; Viridiplantae; Streptophyta; Magnoliopsida; Fabales; Fabaceae
Exons: 3
Source: RefSeq, a predicted model, not a curated record